UAUAAAUAAAUAAAUAAAAUUUUCUAAAAUUUAUAAUAUAUGAUUUUAGUGGGCUUGCCAUUUAAAUAUAUAUUUUUAGUUGUCUAACCUUAUAAAUAUUCAUUGGGAAAUUUCAUAUAUAUCAUCAAUAAAUUAUCCAUAAAUAGAUCUUAGAUUUUUUAUACUAUUAGUCCAGUAUUUGCAUAGGAUCGAGACAAAUUAAGUUGCUUGAACUUCAUCUAAUUAUUCUUAUUGUGACAAAGAUUUGAUAUGGAG
RNAcentral lists this unclassified non-coding RNA (255 nucleotides) under Hevea brasiliensis (rubber tree). The record is from RNAcentral. Lineage: Eukaryota; Viridiplantae; Streptophyta; Magnoliopsida; Malpighiales; Euphorbiaceae.